GACGAACGCUGGCGGCGUGCCUAAUACAUGCAAGUCGAACGCUUUUUCUUUCACCGGAGCUUGCUCCACCGAAAGAAAAAGAGUGGCGAACGGGUGAGUAACACGUGGGUAACCUGCCCAUCAGAAGGGGAUAACACUUGGAAACAGGUGCCAAUACCGUAUAACACUAUUUUCCGCAUGGAAGAAAGUUGAAAGGCGCUUUUGCGUCACUGAUGGAUGGACCCGCGGUGCAUUAGCUAGUUGGUGAGGUAACGGCUCACCAAGGCAACGAUGCAUAGCCGACCUGAGAGGGUGAUCGGCCACACUGGGACUGAGACACGGCCCAGACUCCUACGGGAGGCAGCAGUAGGGAAUCUUCGGCAAUGGACGAAAGUCUGACCGAGCAACGCCGCGUGAGUGAAGAAGGUUUUCGGAUCGUAAAACUCUGUUGUUAGAGAAGAACAAGGAUGAGAGUAGAACGUUCAUCCCUUGACGGUAUCUAACCAGAAAGCCACGGCUAACUACGUGCCAGCCGCCGCGGUAA
Molecule: ribosomal RNA, 523 nt
Filed under: uncultured bacterium
Lineage: Bacteria
Description: partial 16S ribosomal RNA
Rfam family: Bacterial small subunit ribosomal RNA
Source: RNAcentral